CUCAGAAUCAACGCUGGCGGCGUGCCUAACACAUGCAAGUCGAACGGGAAAGUGGAGCAAUCCAUGAGUAUAGUGGCGACCGGGUGAGUAACACGUGACUACCUGCCCUUGAGUGGGGGAUAACCUCGGGAAACCGAGGCUAAUACCGCAUAAUAUCGCAAGAUCAAAGGAGCAAUCCGCUUUUGGAGGGGGUCGCGGCUGAUUAGCUAGUUGGUAAGGUAAUGGCUUACCAAGGCGAAGAUCGGUAUCCGGCCUGAGAGGGCGCACGGACACACUGGAACUGAAACACGGUCCAGACUCCUACGGGAGGCAGCAGUGGGGAAUUUUGCGCAAUGGGGGAAACCCUGACGCAGCAACGCCGCGUGGAGGAUGAAGCCCCUUGGGGCGUAAACUCCUUUCGACUGGGAAGAUUAUGACGGUACCGGAAGAAGAAGCCCCGGCUAACUUCGUGCCAGCAGCCGCGGUAAUACGAGGGGGGCGAGCGUUGUUCGGAAUUAUUGGGCGUAAAGGGUGCGUAGGCGGUUUGGUAAGUCUUAUGUGAAAUCUAUGGGCUCAACUCAUAGACUGCAUGAGAAACUGCCGGGCUUGAGUAUGGGAGAGGUGAGUGGAAUUCCUGGUGUAGCGGUGAAAUGCGUAGAUAUCAGGAGGAACACCUGUGGCGAAAGCGGCUCACUGGACCAUAACUGACGCUGAUGCACGAAAGCUAGGGGAGCAAACAGGAUUAGAUACCCUGGUAGUCCUAGCCCUAAACGAUGACUGCUUGGUGUGACGGGUACCCAAUCCCGCCGUGCCGUAGCUAACGCGUUAAGCAGUCCGCCUGGGGAGUACGGUCGCAAGGCUGAA
RNAcentral lists this ribosomal RNA (843 nucleotides) under uncultured bacterium. RNAcentral's name for it is "bacterial SSU rRNA". It matches the Rfam family "Bacterial small subunit ribosomal RNA", at positions 23 to 898 of the family's 1533-position model. The record is from RNAcentral.